CUGCGCCUGAGCCCCAAGACCCCGCACCUGGGCGCGCGCUCUGGCGCAGUGCCUGGUGCGAUGUCCGCGUCAGCCUCUCUCCUCCGGGAGAGGCAGGGAGUGUGACGCCCAUUUUACCAGCGGGCAAACUGUGGCUUAGGGAUGCUGGGUGAUUUGCCCGAGGACGCACACAGAGGGAAGGGCCAAGCCGGGAUUCCAACUCGGGACUCCCCGCUUCUGGGGAGACCGGUGAGGCCCCCGCGACAUGGCCCUCCCAUCCCCAAGCCUCUCGUGCAGAUCUCCGCUCUGUGGGACUUGAUUGCGGGCUGCGGGCCCGUGGCUCCUGCAGGCAGAGAGAGGACGGGAGAGGAGACGGCUACGAGGCUUGGCCGCAGAGAAUGAGAAGGCAGAUCAAAGUUACAGAUGCUGCGAGAACAUCGCCAAGCAGAAUCUUGGGUGCUGUCCCCACCUCUCUGUACCUGCUCCCUCCCAGAGAAGCCAGCCUCCACUUGCUGUCCCGGGCCUUCUCUAUCUGAGAAAAGUUGAAGGAGCACAUGUCCUUGCGCAGGAAGAGGCUGUUCAGCGUGACCGCCCCGAUCAAGAAGAAGAGCUGCUUCACCGCCUGCCUCACAAGCUCGGGGUCCAGGCCGUUCUGGCACAUGGUGGUGUAAAAGUAGCUCAGCUGUUGCAGGACGGAGGUCAUGGUGUAGCCGUCCGUGUCGUCUAUGCUAGAGGAGCGCUUCCGGAAGCCUGUGGGCUUCAGGCCGGAAAUGCCCUGCAGGCUCUCAUACUCCAGCAUUCCCGGAACUGCGGAGAGACAGGGAGGCUGUGCUGACACGCCAGGAGACACACGCGGAACGUUCCCGACGCUCUUCGGUUUGUUUCAGGAGAUGGGACAUUUUUCUACAAGAGUCAGUGGAUGUACUUAUGAUAGAGAAAGCAAAAGAAUCAAGGGUUUGGGACACCAGGGUGUGUGUCAGGGUUAGGGAUGGACGGCUGUUUCCAGCGGGGCUGCAGCUCCUCUUGUAGGUUUGAAGCAGCACGUUUUUCAGCUUCACAGGAAAGAAAGCUGCUUAGCAUGACAAAUCAUGGCCUGGGCAUUAAAGCCUAAAGUAUUUAAAUUUCAGGAAAUUAAGGAAAGUAUACAAGAAUUCGAAUGGGGCUUUAGGAUUUCAAAAAUACUUGGCUACGCCAAGAAGUAGAAGUACCACAUAAAUAGCAGUAGUAGAAGUUUCCCCAAGUUUUUUCCUUCAGGAUAAAUCAUCCUUAUAUAAAGAAAACUACCAACAGCGUACUAUUAUUUAUGGAAUCAUUAUAAGCAAGCAAAGAAUUAAAAGGCAGAUAUCUACAUGAUUAUAUUUCCUUGGCUUUUUAAACAAUGUUACACAUAAUCACACAUUACACAUACCAAGUUUAUGUUUUAAAAAGUCUUAAUGUUACUAUAAAUAUUUUUUGGUCAUCCAUUCUCUUCUUACCUAUUAUCGGUUGGAUAUUCUUUUCCAUUAUGAUAAUAAAUUGAUGAUAUAUUCGUAUAGCCACAUCACUGAGAAUCUGUCUGUAUUCUGAAAGGUCAAAAUUGUUCAAGCAAUUCUUAUUCUGCUGUGGACUAUUAUGCUUCAUGAAUUCCUAAAAGUAAUUUUAAACAUAAAAUAUUAGAAUAAUACAAACAUGUAGGAAAUUAAUAAUCAGCUACUAUAACUCUUUUACCUUAAAACUUAAUGUCUGAUUUAUAUCAAAUGAGUUCAUGAUGCUUGGGGUAGCAUGUACCUUCUAUAAGAAAAAAAUUGCACUGAUUUCCUGUAUGAUCACAGUCUAUCACACUGUCAUUGUCCCACCCACUUCCCUACAAACAUUGUCCCUGGAACCUAUAGACUAAAUGGAAAAGCUCGUAGAAGGCCCAUGGAAGCGCAUAGGAAAAUGAAACAAAACUGCAGAGCAUUCAAGGAAACAAACUGCUAUGAAGAGGUAAGUGGAUACAAUAAAUGAGAUUCAUAACCUUAUAAUUUACAGGGUACAAAGUUGAAAUAUUUUAAAGUGUGUGUUAUGGAUUUUAUGUGUCUUCCUAAAAAUCAUACAUUGAAGCCCUAACCCCCUAGUGUGGCUGUAUUUGGAGAUGGGGCCUUUAGGGAGGUAAUGAGGUUAAAUGAGGUCAUGAGGAUAGGGCCGUGAUCUAAUAAUAAGAUUGAUGUCCUUAUAAGAAGAGACACCAGAGAGAGCUUGCCCUCUCUCUCCCUCUUCCUGACCCAUGCACCCAGGAAAGGUCCUGUGAGGACACAGGGAUGGAGAAAGUGGCUGUCAGCAAGCCAGGAAGAGAGCCCUCACCAGGAAGUGACCAUGCUGGCACCCUGAUCUCAGAUGUUUAGCCUCCAGAACUGUGAGGAAACAAAUCUCUUGUUUAAGCCACCCAGCCUGCGGUAUUUUGUUAUAGUAGCCUGAGUGAACUAAUGGAAUAUGUUUAACAUGUUCAAAGAGACUAAAGAAAAAGAAAAAAUUAAGAAUAGAACAUUAUAGGGCUGGGCGUGGUGGCUUACGCCUGUAAUCCAGCACUUUGCGAGGCCGAGGCAGGCGGAUCACU
Molecule: long non-coding RNA, 2554 nt
Organism: Homo sapiens (human)
Lineage: Eukaryota; Metazoa; Chordata; Mammalia; Primates; Hominidae
Gene: CERNA1
Product: competing endogenous lncRNA 1 for miR-4707-5p and miR-4767
Source: Ensembl